Molecule: non-coding RNA, 120 nt
Filed under: Phascolarctos cinereus (koala)
Lineage: Eukaryota; Metazoa; Chordata; Mammalia; Diprotodontia; Phascolarctidae
Source: RNAcentral
GAGAGACAUGCAAGUGAGAGAGAAGUUUAGCUGAGGAUGCAGGAGGUCCUACUGGACUUUACAACACAUAGAGAGUUAAGGCAUCACCACCUACUUUGUGGCAUCUAACCAAGUAGUGUG